Humulus lupulus (European hop) is the source of this 625-nucleotide long non-coding RNA. RefSeq lists it as uncharacterized. The record is from RefSeq and is a predicted model, not a curated record. NCBI's taxonomy places the organism in Eukaryota, Viridiplantae, Streptophyta, Magnoliopsida, Rosales, Cannabaceae. The transcript has 3 exons.
GACCGUACGAUAAUAUAAUAUACUCAUAUUAUUUCAGACAGAUACCCAAAGGAUCAAUGAGGCUUACCUCAAAAUUUUUGGCGAUUGGGCUCCUUCUUCAGUCGUUGCAUGCACUAAUCUAAACAUGGCUUCUGAAUUUGUUUCUCUCUUUGGCAAUUUUCUGAUUUGAAGCUUGAGCUCAUUUUCAUUGUAUUGAGAUACAGAUCUUGUUGCUCAACCUUACACAGACGAGCUCGUUGAUCAAAUUAUUGAGGAUAUUGAAUCUAUAAAAGAGGAGCAUUGUAAUUUCAAAAAGUUUCUUCCCAAAGAUUGUCGGCAAAAAUCACAAGAAAGUAAAGACGAAGGUGUCUCUGAACUUCAAUCCCUUGAACACAUUCACAUCCUUGUUCUAACUCGAGAACUUGAGAAGGUUGGAAUUAAUUUUACUGUUUUGACUCACUUGAUCGAAGAGCAACGUAUGUUUGCAGACAAGAUGUCUAAAAAAAGAGUGAUAAAAAUACCAUGUUGACGUGGUUUUUUGCCAACAGAUAAUUAUACGAAUAAAUAGGAUGGAUUAGUACUGAUUGAUAAACCGUAAUAUGACAAUGAUAUUAAUUGAGAAUGUGGAAACUAAUUGCAAAGAAAA